AUCUGUGUCUCCAAUCUAAUAAAACCCACUGACUUACCCUGCAAUCUUUACUGAUUGCCCUGUUGCUGUGAGGUUGUGUUUCCCAAAACAGGCAGAGAUGUUGCAAUACACCAUGAUGAAACAUCUGGAAAUUGAAAAGCAACUACUGCAGGUGAGAUGCACCUUGCUUCCCUCUCUAUUGGGUGUGGGGAGAAUUAAGCUCCUAGAAUGAACAUCACAAAGCCAGAAUUACAGGUGAUAACUACUCUAAUCAGAGGGAAACACUAAGAGGAGAGAUGUAGGGAGUUUGGUGCUGUUUCAGGGCUGUAAAUAGGAGUUUUGGGGGAGCUAUUUGCAAAGGAUAUUUAUAUUUUAUUUUAAAUACCAGAAACAACUAAACACUGGGUUAUACAUCCAGAAUCUGCUAAGCUGUCUGUUUUUCCGGCCCCAUAAAUCUUGCAAACUUGAUGUAACAUUAGCAGGAGAGAUGAGAAGCAUUCACUUUCAGGCUACAGCUUCAUUUUUAGGGUGCCUUUCAAGCUUCUGCACUGAUUAGUUCAAAAGUUUGACAUUAUUUGUAGGAACUUGUUGACCACUGUGGUGGUCUUUGAAAAGAGUUUAUUCCAAGUGUGUUGGAUGAUAUCUGUGGGGUACUGCUGCAGAAUUAAGUACCAACAUGUCUCUUUUCUUGUCAUAAGGAGGAAAAUAGGUGUUGAUCACCCUGUUAUUAUUUACUUUAUCAUUUGUUGUUUGCAAUUCUGGUGAGCUAAGGAACAAUGGGUAGUGCAGACGUAGGUAAUAAAACCAAUUUAGCUCCAGAGAUCCCAGUGUGCAAAAAGAGAAGGAUGAGCAUGUCUGUAUGUUUGUGUGUGAUGUGGGAAUGGAUUUGGAAAAGAGAAGUAACACUGAAAGCAGUAACAUUGCAUUACAAGCCCUUCAGCCUGGAGACUGUAGAAACAUGGAACCUUUUGCUUCUCAGCUGCUGGAAUUUAACUUUAUUGUUGUUCAUUUCUAUUCCUUUAAUAAGGAAUCCUGAGUUGAACUCCUUGCAUGCUUACUGCACUCUGCCUUUGGCUGGCUUACUCAGGCUUUCCCUUGUAAACUCUGGAGUGAAUCAUUUAAUCUGCUGGACCGGAGUUAGAGAAACCCUGGAGCAGCUCAUUCAUUCACUGGCGAGGCUGCACUUCUGCUCUGCAGUGGCUGGGACAGCCUAUGCUUGCUCCUUGACUCAAAAGAAAAUGGAGGCAGUUGUCCUACAAGGGAAAGAAGCUUUGCUCUGCAGAGCUGAGGACAAACUGCACUGAGGCUCCAACCUGCCACGGCAGGAAACGGACAAUUGGGAAACCCAUGGCAUGACUGCUGCUGAGCUUAGGAUUGCUCAAAAAAUGCAUUCCACUUGUAUAGUAGAGCCAACAAAGCCAUGGGGUUAAGGAACAGGUAGGCUCCCUUUUCUCUAAAGCCAAGGUGCUAGUGAUGGAUCCAUAUAAAAAAAGCUAUGGAAAAACUGUUGCCUCACAUUACUUUAAUCCUCCAUAGUUAGUGCACAGUAACUUGAGUUUUGGGGUGGUUUAAACCAUCUAGAACAUCACCUUAUGGUGGCUUUACAGGACAAACAGGAUUAUUUUCUACUAGUGCAUUCACUUGCAGCUGGAAGCUUUCUGAAACUUUCUGAACAUAUUGUUUCUGUCUUGAAAAUACAUUUUUUUUUCCACAAAUAAAACUUUUGGAAAAAAAAAAAAGUGGGUUGUA
Molecule: long non-coding RNA, 1728 nt
Filed under: Anser cygnoides (Swan goose)
Lineage: Eukaryota; Metazoa; Chordata; Aves; Anseriformes; Anatidae
Description: lncRNA (ENSACDG00005018555.1)
Source: RNAcentral